CGCUGGCGGCGUGCUUAACACAUGCAAGUCGAACGAUGAAGCCCUUCGGGGUGGAUUAGUGGCGAACGGGUGAGUAACACGUGGGCAAUCUGCCCUUCACUCUGGGACAAGCCCUGGAAACGGGGUCUAAUACCGGAUAAUACUCCUGCCUGCAUGGGCGGGGGUUGAAAGCUCCGGCGGUGAAGGAUGAGCCCGCGGCCUAUCAGCUUGUUGGUGGGGUAAUGGCCCACCAAAGCGACGACGGGUAGCCGGCCUGAGAGGGCGACCGGCCACACUGGGACUGAGACACGGCCCAGACUCCUACGGGAGGCAGCAGUGGGGAAUAUUGCACAAUGGGCGAAAGCCUGAUGCAGCGACGCCGCGUGAGGGAUGACGGCCUUCGGGUUGUAAACCUCUUUCAGCAGGGAAGAAGCGAAAGUGACGGUACCUGCAGAAGAAGCGCCGGCU
Molecule: ribosomal RNA, 447 nt
Filed under: uncultured bacterium
Lineage: Bacteria
Description: bacterial SSU rRNA
Rfam family: Bacterial small subunit ribosomal RNA
Source: RNAcentral